RNAcentral lists this long non-coding RNA (213 nucleotides) under Elaeis guineensis (African oil palm). Its description in RNAcentral is "long non-coding RNA (EGUI_LNC016423)". The record is from RNAcentral. Lineage: Eukaryota; Viridiplantae; Streptophyta; Magnoliopsida; Arecales; Arecaceae.
UGCUUUUCCAAUUAACUACAAUUCGCUAGUCAUUAGGUGGCAAAUGUGCAAAACUACUGCUUUAUUGAUACAAAGUGAGAAAUUGAUAGAUGAUGCUUCUAUCAAUCAGAAUUGAUUGUAAUUAAUUUGAUUUUUUUUUUGAAUAAUGAUAUAAAUUCCUUAUUCCCCUCCUUUGUUGUUUCAAAGUAUUAUAUUAUAUGCCUAUGGUGCAUA